GCUGCCGUAGCUCAGAUGGAAGAGCGUCCCCAUUCUUUGCCGCGCCACGGCCGAAGCGGGGAAGGUCGCAGGUUCGAAUCCUGCCGGUGGUU
This 92-nucleotide transfer RNA is filed under the name Pirellula sp. SH-Sr6A. It matches the Rfam family "tRNA". Rfam says of the family: Transfer RNA (tRNA) molecules are approximately 80 nucleotides in length. The record is from Rfam by way of RNAcentral. Lineage: Bacteria; Pseudomonadati; Planctomycetota; Planctomycetia; Pirellulales; Pirellulaceae.